GUUUCAACAGCAGCUGGAGACUCACCUGCACAGGUGAGCGGCUUCUAGAUGAUUGACAGGCCAUGGACCAAUCACUGUCCAGUUGGCGGCCUCAUGCGAGUGUGCUCAGUUGUUUCCCGCCCUCUGUGGGCAGAGAUGUUGCUGUUGCUGUGGUGAAGUCCUUGGCAGUCGGCCUUGGAAACCCCAACACCCAGAGCCUGCUACGCACAGACGGACAGGUGAAAUGGACCAUGGAGGUGUUGU
This is a long non-coding RNA of Sphaeramia orbicularis (orbiculate cardinalfish), 243 nucleotides long. RefSeq lists it as uncharacterized. The transcript has 3 exons. The record is from RefSeq and is a predicted model, not a curated record. Lineage: Eukaryota; Metazoa; Chordata; Actinopteri; Kurtiformes; Apogonidae.